GCUUGCAGACCCUGACGCGGAAACAUCAGAAGAAAUACUGACCAAGCAGUUCAUGAGACAGGACCUGGAGAAGGUAUUAGACACCUUAAAUCCAAGGGAGAAGCAGGUCGUUAGAUGGCGAUUUGGACUAGAGGAUGGCAGGAUGAAGACGUUACAAGAAAUUGGUGAGUUAAUGGGCGUUAGCCGGGAGAGAAUUCGCCAAAUAGAGUCUUGUGCAUUCCGUAAGUUGAAGAACAAGAAAAGAACAAAGUUUUUGCAGCAAUAUAUAAAUGCUUAAAGUCUCUACUAUAUAUACAUCAAGAAAGUAGAUUUGACCUUCCAGUCGUUGAGUCUUUGUUGUUAGAAAAAAUUGAGGCUUAGAUAAGCUUUGGUUCUUUAACUGUUCUUAUUCUUCAGAACUCUGCAAAUAUGUUGUGCAUAAUACAAAAU
This 429-nucleotide unclassified non-coding RNA is filed under the name Hevea brasiliensis (rubber tree). Lineage: Eukaryota; Viridiplantae; Streptophyta; Magnoliopsida; Malpighiales; Euphorbiaceae. The record is from RNAcentral.